UUGUAAUUUGUAGAGGAUGCUUCGGGUUAGGCGGUGGUCUAAUUUGCUUGGAACAGCAAGUCGAAGAGGGUGAGAAUCCCGUCCAGGAUCGUCGGCCGCGCCCGUGUGAAGCUCCUUCGACGAGUCGAGUUGUUUGGGAAUGCAGCUCCAAAUGGGUGGUAAAUUUCAUCUAAAGCUAAAUAUGGGCCGGAGACCGAUAGCGCACAAGUAGAGUGAUCGAAAGAUGAAAAGCACUUUGAAAAGAGAGUUAAACAGUAUGUGAAAUUGUUGAAAGGGAAGCGCUUGCAACCAGACUUGUGACUGACGGUUCCCCCGACCUCCUGGCCGGGCUACUCCGUCACGUCCAGGCCAACAUCGGUUUGGGUGGUCGGUCAAAGACCCCGGGAAUGUAUCUACCUCCGGGUCGACUUAUAGCCCGGGGUGGAAUGCGGCCCACCCGGACCGAGGAACGCGCUCCGGCUCGGAUGUUGGCGUAAUGGUUGUAAGCGGCCCGUCUUGAAACACGGACCAAGGAGUCUAACAUCUAUGCGAGUGUUUGGGUGUGAAACCCCUACGCGGAAUGAAAGUGAACGGAGGUAAGAACCCCGUCAGGGGCGCAUUAUCGACCGAUCCUGAUGUCUUCGGAUGGAUUUGAGUAAGAGCAUAGCUGUUGGGACCCGAAAGAUGGUGAACUAUGCAUGAAUAGGGUGAAGCCAGAGGAAACUCUGGUGGAGGCUCGCAGCGGUUCUGACGUGCAAAUCGAUCGUCAAAUUUGUGCAUAGGGGCGAAAGACUAAUCGAACCAUUACAAGAGGACAAUUGCUCCACGGUCACCAGGUGGUUCUUAACAGUCCUUCGGGGCGACAUCGUCCUUCUGGCGGGGAUCCAGUCACCCGCAGCAGCUUUGGCUGUCCACAGACUAGGAGACGGUGGUCAUCUUAACCGGAAGAUGAUGAUGAUAUAGUCGGUCACGGUGGGAUCUCUUAACCGUGGAUCAACGCUGGUAGCUGGUUCCUGUCGAAGUUUCCCUCAGGAUAGCAGUAACGUUUUCAGUUUUAUGAGGUAAAGCGAAUGAUUAGAGGCCUUGGGGUUGCAACAACCUUAACCUAUUCUCAAACUUUAAAUAUGUAAGAAGUCCUUGUUGCUCAAUUGAACGUGGACAUUUGAAUGUAUCGUUACUAGUGGGCCAUUUUUGGUAAGCAGAACUGGCGAUGCGGGAUGAACCGAACGUGAGGUUAAGGUGCCGGAAUGCACGCUCAUCAGACACCACAAAAGGUGUCAAUGCAUCCAGACAGCCGGACGGUGGCCAUGGAAGUCGGAAUCCGCUUAGGAGUGUGUAACAACUCACCGGCCGAAUGCAUUGGCCCUGAAAAUGGAUGGCGCUUAAGCGUGCUACCUAUACCUCGCCGUUGGGGUUGAAAUGAGGCCCCAACGAGUAGGCAGGCGUGGGGGUUGGUGACGAAGCU
Molecule: ribosomal RNA, 1444 nt
Filed under: Endocarpon sp.
Lineage: Eukaryota; Fungi; Ascomycota; Eurotiomycetes; Verrucariales; Verrucariaceae
Description: partial large subunit ribosomal RNA
Rfam family: Eukaryotic large subunit ribosomal RNA
Source: RNAcentral